UUGAAGAGUUUGAUCAUGGCUCAGAUUGAACGCUGGCGGCAGGCCUAACACAUGCAAGUCGAACGGUAACAGGAUGUGCUUGCACAUCGCUGACGAGUGGCGGACGGGUGAGUAAUGCUUGGGAACUUGCCUUUGCGAGGGGGAUAACAGUUGGAAACGACUGCUAAUACCGCAUAAUGUCUUCGGACCAAACGGGGCUUCGGCUCCGGCGCAAAGAGAGGCCCAAGUGAGAUUAGCUAGUUGGUAAGGUAACGGCUUACCAAGGCGACGAUCUCUAGCUGUUCUGAGAGGAAGAUCAGCCACACUGGGACUGAGACACGGCCCAGACUCCUACGGGAGGCAGCAGUGGGGAAUAUUGCACAAUGGGGGAAACCCUGAUGCAGCCAUGCCGCGUGUGUGAAGAAGGCCUUCGGGUUGUAAAGCACUUUCAGUUGUGAGGAAAAGUUAGUAGUUAAUACCUGCUAGCCGUGACGUUAACAACAGAAGAAGCACCGGCUAACUCCGUGCCAGCAGCCGCGGUAAUACGGAGGGUGCGAGCGUUAAUCGGAAUUACUGGGCGUAAAGCGCGCGUAGGCGGUUUGCUAAGUCAGAUGUGAAAUCCCCGGGCUCAACCUGGGAAUGGCAUUUGAGACUGGUAGGCUAGAAUGUGGUAGAGGUGAGUGGAAUUCCAGGUGUAGCGGUGAAAUGCGUAGAGAUCUGGAGGAACAUCAGUGGCGAAGGCGACUCACU
This 729-nucleotide ribosomal RNA is filed under the name Symbiodinium sp. CCMP2430. Its description in RNAcentral is "partial Bacterial small subunit ribosomal RNA". It matches the Rfam family "Bacterial small subunit ribosomal RNA", at positions 1 to 730 of the family's 1533-position model. Lineage: Eukaryota; Dinophyceae; Suessiales; Symbiodiniaceae. The record is from RNAcentral.